AUGGCCACCACCUCAAGCGCGGAGCUUCUGCAAGCUGAGGCAGAGCUCGUGCGCCACUCCUUAGGCUACCUCAAGUCCAUGGCGUUGCACAGCGCGGUAAAGCUCGGAAUCCCCGACGCUCUCCACCGCUGCGGCGGCGCGGCCUCCUUGCCCGACCUGUCCUCCACCCUCGCCCUCCCUUGCAGCAAACGACCGUACCUGUCCCGGCUCAUGAAGAUGCUAGCCGUGGAAGGAAUCUUCACGGCCGUGGCUGUGGAUGUGGACGUUCCUACCGCCAGCGGCGGCGAGGGCAGCGUCCGGUACGGCCUCAACCCGGUGUCUCGCCUUCUUGUCAGCGGCAGCGGCGCGUGCCUGUCGCCGUGCGUGCUCAUGGGCACCUCGCCGCUGUUCCUGGAGGCCUCCCUCCGGCUGCACCAGUGGUUCCAGAGGGACGGCCAGGGUGAUCAGCCGGCGUUCGCCAUGGCGCACGGCGAGAGCCCCUACGGCGCGGCCGGCCAUGACACGGAGUUCAACGCGCUGGUGAACGAGGCGAUGGGGUCCGACAGCCGACACAUGGCGGAGCUCGUCGUCCGCGAGUGCGGCGAGGUGUUCACGGGCGUGACGUCGCUGGUCGGCGUCGGCGGCGGGAACGGCACCAUGGCGACGGCCAUCGCCAAGGCCUUCCCGCAUGUCAAGUGUUCGGUGCUGGACCUCCCGCAUGUUGUACAAGGCGUCGUCUCGACACAUGAGUCGGUUGAGUUUGCUGCCGGCGACAUGAUGGAAUACGUUCCACCAGCUGAUGCAGUUCUGCUUAAGUGUGUGCUACACAACUGGAGCGACGAGGAUUGCGUGAAGAUCCUGACAAAAUGCAGAGAGGCCAUUGCCCAAGGAGCGAAAGCAGGGAAGGUGAUAAUCAUCGAUGCUGUUGUUGGAUCUCCUUCACACUCACAGCAAGUACUUCAAGCUCAAGUCUUGAUGGAUAUGCAAAUGAUGAUGCUAUUCAUGAGCAAAGAACGUGAGGAACUCAGCUGGCAAAAGAUAUUCAUGGAAGCAGGGUUUAGUCAUUACAAAAUACAGCCCGUCCUAGGGAUGCGAUCCAUCAUCCAACUCUACCCAUAG
RNAcentral lists this ribosomal RNA (1098 nucleotides) under Triticum aestivum (bread wheat). Its description in RNAcentral is "partial small subunit ribosomal RNA". The record is from RNAcentral. Lineage: Eukaryota; Viridiplantae; Streptophyta; Magnoliopsida; Poales; Poaceae.